RNAcentral lists this ribosomal RNA (495 nucleotides) under uncultured bacterium. RNAcentral's name for it is "partial 16S ribosomal RNA". It matches the Rfam family "Bacterial small subunit ribosomal RNA", at positions 28 to 507 of the family's 1533-position model. The record is from RNAcentral.
GAUGAACGCUGGCGGCGUGCCUAAUACAUGCAAGUCGAGCGAACAGACGAGGAGCUUGCUCCUCUGACGUUAGCGGCGGACGGGUGAGUAACACGUGGAUAACCUACCUAUAAGACUGGGAUAACUUCGGGAAACCGGAGCUAAUACCGGAUAAUAUUGAACCGCAUGGUUCAAUAGUGAAAGACGGUUUUGCUGUCACCUAUAGAUGGAUCCGCGCCGCAUUAGCUAGUUGGUAAGGUAACGGCUUACCAAGGCAACGAUGCGUAGCCGACCUGAGAGGGUGAUCGGCCACACUGGAACUGAGACACGGUCCAGACUCCUACGGGAGGCAGCAGUAGGGAAUCUUCCGCAAUGGGCGAAAGCCUGACGGAGCAACGCCGCGUGAGUGAUGAAGGUCUUCGGAUCGUAAAACUCUGUUAUUAGGGAAGAACAAAUGUGUAAGUAACUAUGCACGUCUUGACGGUACCUAAUCAGAAAGCCACGGCUAACUACGUG